AAUUACCAUUUAAAUUUUUCUCCCACCUCGUUGCAGGCUCCACCCCAAUUUGUGAGGCCAUGGGCAAACAGACGUUGUGCUGCAGUCGCAGGAUCCCUUUGCACAAGCUUGAGACCCGAAUCGAUGUCAUCGAUGCAGCCACCAUCAAGGCGUGCACCAAAAUAUCUUCGACAUAGCUCCUGCCAUAGCAGCCAUUGACAGUUCCAAUCGAGCAGCUUCCUGACGACACCCAGAUCUGCAGCGGAAUGUUCUGGAUGAGGAGAUAAGUAAAAUCACGCUCUCCGUUUUCAAAUCCUCUUGUCCUCGCAAGGGUCCCAGGGUGUGCUGGAGCCUCCCCUGGCUGUCUUCGGGCCAUCGGCAGGGGGGUUGA
This is a long non-coding RNA of Hippocampus zosterae (dwarf seahorse), 370 nucleotides long. RefSeq lists it as uncharacterized. The transcript is spliced from 3 exons. The record is from RefSeq and is a predicted model, not a curated record. Lineage: Eukaryota; Metazoa; Chordata; Actinopteri; Syngnathiformes; Syngnathidae.